GGAUACUGUGUGUGCUUGAGCCCACCUUUUCUUUUUUAAAGAGUAAAUGAGCUUCCUUCCCCAGCUCCUUUUGCAAAAAGUGCCUGUACCACUUCCCCUGUGGUGCAGCAGAACUCCUAGUGAGGCCUAAAGUAGAUGGGUAUAUAUAACCUAUUCAAGCCUUUUACCUCAAGUAGAGCAGGUGGAGCUGGUUGCACUAAGAACUGGUAACUGGCAGUGAAAGCAGUCUGGUCAGGUCACCCUGAGGGCAGUUAUGAAAGGGAAUGACAGAGAGCAAUGGAGAGCUGCUAAGAGCUGCUAGGUCUGGCUAUUGAAAGAGUUCCAGGGAACUGUCAGUAGCUGCUGGCUUCUCCUGUCAGGAACACAGUGGCAGAGCUGAUCCCACUGGACACUGAGGGUCACUGGCAUUCACUCUUGGGGCUAUGAACACUAAGAUCUGAGAGAUGUUGGCCCUGGAAACUCAGAGCUGCUAACACUAAGGGAGGUGCACUCUGUCUAUUUGUGGUUGCUCUCCAGAUGGAUGUUUGAACCCUUAGCCAGUUGGUAACAGAGAUAUUAAAGGGACAUAGUUCAUGAAGGGAUGUACAGAGAAGGCCCCUUAAAUUAACUGAGGCCAUGUGAACAAUGUGAUGAAUGGGUUUUUGUUUAGCUUUUGAUCUGUUUUUCUUCCAGGAUCAGAGGAAGCUGCAGGCUAAAUGUAGAGACAAGGGCUUGGCCCUGCACCUGUGUACCCUGAGGAAUGGAAUCUGCAAAUACCUCCUCCUUUCAGUCCUCACCCCAAAGAGUAGCCCAGACUCCACAGCAGAAGGCAGCAGCCAUGAGAACAUGUCCCUACUAAACUAUCUUUAUUCACUCUUGACAGUCAACUCCUGUGAUUUAUAGCUUUGCCCCAGGUAUGCGCCUCUCUCCCUCUCCCAUCCCAGUACCCACCUUUUGCCUUCCUCCUACAUUCCCAGUGCCCUCCCCUUGCC
RNAcentral lists this long non-coding RNA (971 nucleotides) under Marmota monax (woodchuck). The record is from RNAcentral. Lineage: Eukaryota; Metazoa; Chordata; Mammalia; Rodentia; Sciuridae.